This is a long non-coding RNA of Manduca sexta (tobacco hornworm), 296 nucleotides long. RefSeq lists it as uncharacterized. NCBI's taxonomy places the organism in Eukaryota, Metazoa, Arthropoda, Insecta, Lepidoptera, Sphingidae. The transcript is spliced from 3 exons. The record is from RefSeq and is a predicted model, not a curated record.
CGCGGGUCGCGGUGCCCGCUCUAGUGGGCCGGCGCAGGCGCCUCAGCGAGCGGCGGGCCAGGGCGCUCACGCUUCAGAUCAUCAUGGAUGUAAGGAUGUGGUGGUAGCGGCUACGGAUUACACCGCGACCGCUGAUGACGAGGUGUCACUCAAGUCGGGUGACAUUGUUGAGGUUCUCGACAGCAAAUCCGCUCUUGGAUCCAAGUACAGAGGGCGUGUCUAUUGUUACGAGAAUCAUUUCUUCCAAACCAGAGGUCCGUCUCUGGACUAUGUGUUUAGUGUGCCCACAUACAAAA